GGGCGCGGUGGCGCGUGCCUGUAGUCCCAGCUACUCGGGAGGCUGAGGUGGGAGGAUCGCUUGAGCCCAGGAGUUCUGGGCUGUAGUGCGCUAUGCCGAUCGGGUGUCCGCACUAAGUUCGGCAUCAAUAUGGUGACCUCCCGGGAGCGGGGGACCACCAGGUUGCCUAAGGAGGGCGCCGGGCGCGGUGGCGCGUGCCUGUAGUCCCAGCUACUCGGGAGGCUGAGGCUGGAGGAUCCCUUGAGUUCAGGAGUUCUGGGCUGUAGUGCGCUAUGCCGAUCGGGUGUCCGCACUGAGUUCGGCAUCAAUAUGGUGACCUCCCGGGAGCGGGGGACCACCAGGUUGCCUAAGGAGGGGUGAACCGGCCCAGGUCGGAAACGGAGCAGGUCAAAACUCCCGUGCUGAUCAGUAGUGGGAUUGCGCCUGUGAAUAGCCACUGCACUCCAGCCUGGGCAACA
Molecule: long non-coding RNA, 458 nt
Filed under: Homo sapiens (human)
Lineage: Eukaryota; Metazoa; Chordata; Mammalia; Primates; Hominidae
Description: HSALNT0376832
Rfam family: Metazoan signal recognition particle RNA (bases 178-458)
About the family: The signal recognition particle (SRP) is a universally conserved ribonucleoprotein. It is involved in the co-translational targeting of proteins to membranes.
Source: RNAcentral